ACGCUGGCGGCACGCCUUAUACAUGCAAGUCGAACGAAGUAGCAAUACUUAGUGGCAGACGGGUGAGUAACAUGUGGGUAUCUUCCCUUUGGUGAGGAAUAACACGAGGAAACUUGUGCUAAUACCUCAUAAGUCUUUACGGAGAAAGCUUUAUGCGCCAAUGGAUGAGCCCGCACUUGAUUAGUUUGUUGGUGGGGUAAUGGCCUACCAAGGCUUUGAUCAAUAGCUGAUUUGAGAGGAUGAUCAGCCACAUUGGGACUGAGACACGGCCCAAACUCCUACGGGAGGCAGCAGUAAGGAAUCUUGCACAAUGGAGGAAACUCUGAUGCAGCGAUGCCGCGUGAGUGAAGAAGGCCUUUGGGUUGUAAAGCUCUUUCGUCGGGGAAGAAAAUGACUGUACCCGAAUAAGAAGGUCCGGCUAACUUCGUGCCAGCAGCCGCGGUAAUACGAAGGGACCUAGCGUAGUUCGGAAUUACUGGGCUUAAAGAGUUCGUAGGUGGUUAAAAAAGUUGGUGGUGAAAUCCCAGAGCUUAACUCUGGAACUGCCAUCAAAACUUUUUAGCUAGAGUAUGAUAGAGGAAAGCAGAAUUUCUAGUGUAGAGGUGAAAUUCGUAGAUAUUAGAAAGAAUACCAAUUGCGAAGGCAGCUUUCUGGAUCAUUACUGACACUGAGGAACGAAAGCAUGGGUAGCGAAGAGGAUUAGAUACCCUCGUAGUCCAUGCCGUAAACGAUGUGUGUUAGACGUUGGAAAUUUAUUUUCAGUGUCGCAGCGAAAGCGAUAAACACACCGCCUGGGG
Molecule: ribosomal RNA, 797 nt
Filed under: uncultured Pelagibacteraceae bacterium
Lineage: Bacteria; Pseudomonadati; Pseudomonadota; Alphaproteobacteria; Candidatus Pelagibacterales; Candidatus Pelagibacteraceae
Description: bacterial SSU rRNA
Rfam family: Bacterial small subunit ribosomal RNA
Source: RNAcentral